This 408-nucleotide ribosomal RNA is filed under the name uncultured bacterium. RNAcentral describes it as "bacterial SSU rRNA". It matches the Rfam family "Bacterial small subunit ribosomal RNA", at positions 355 to 775 of the family's 1533-position model. The record is from RNAcentral.
UGGGGAAUCUUGCGCAAUGGGCGAAAGCCUGACGCAGCGACGCCGCGUGAGGGAUGAAGGCCUUCGGGUUGUAAACCUCUUUCAGCGGGGACGAAGCGAAAGUGACGGUACCCGCAGAAGAAGCCCCGGCCAACUACGUGCCAGCAGCCGCGGUAAUACGUAGGGGGCUAGCGUUGUCCGGAUUUAUUGGGCGUAAAGAGCUCGUAGGCGGCUUCGUAAGUCGGACGUGAAAUCCCACGGCUUAACUGUGGGGCGCCGUUCGAUACUGCGAGGCUAGAGGCCGGUAGGGGGACGUGGAAUUCCUGGUGUAGCGGUGAAAUGCGCAGAUAUCAGGAGGAACACCGGUGGCGAAGGCGGCGUCCUGGGCCGGUCCUGACGCUGAGGAGCGAAAGCUGGGGGAGCAAACAG